CAGUACGGCCGCAAGGUUAAAACUCAAAUGAAUUGACGGGGGCCCGCACAAGCGGUGGAGCAUGUGGUUUAAUUCGAUGCAACGCGAAGAACCUUACCUACUCUUGACAUCCAGCGAAUCCUGUAGAGAUACGGGAGUGCCUUCGGGAACGCUGAGACAGGUGCUGCAUGGCUGUCGUCAGCUCGUGUUGUGAAAUGUUGGGUUAAGUCCCGCAACGAGCGCAACCCUUAUCCUUUGUUGCCAGCGGUUCGGCCGGGAACUCAAAGGAGACUGCCAGUGAUAAACUGGAGGAAGGUGGGGAUGACGUCAAGUCAUCAUGGCCCUUACGAGUAGGGCUACACACGUGCUACAAUGGCGUAUACAAAGAGAAGCGAACUCGCGAGAGCAAGCGGACCUCAUAAAGUACGUCGUAGUCCGGAUUGGAGUCUGCAACUCGACUCCAUGAAGUCGGAAUCGCUAGUAAUCGUGGAUCAGAAUGCC
This 480-nucleotide ribosomal RNA is filed under the name Edwardsiella sp. (in: enterobacteria). RNAcentral describes it as "bacterial SSU rRNA". It matches the Rfam family "Bacterial small subunit ribosomal RNA", at positions 878 to 1358 of the family's 1533-position model. The record is from RNAcentral. Lineage: Bacteria; Pseudomonadati; Pseudomonadota; Gammaproteobacteria; Enterobacterales; Hafniaceae.